Molecule: ribosomal RNA, 1034 nt
Filed under: Streptomyces violaceorubidus
Lineage: Bacteria; Bacillati; Actinomycetota; Actinomycetes; Kitasatosporales; Streptomycetaceae
Description: partial 16S ribosomal RNA
Source: RNAcentral
UUAGUUGCCGGAAGCCCNANAAUUNGGAGAGAANUCAGNCCGUACUUCGCGGUUCACUUGCCAUGGACCGUCUCUUUCGUGGCGAUUGAUAGCACGUCGUUCGGCGCCAUUAUGCAUCCCACGCUCGCCACAGGCCUUAAUAACCCCGCAUUUUCUCGAGCAUCCGCCGGACAGCGCAGCCUACACUUUCGGGCCCGGAUUGGGGGCCCAGGACGUAAAGCUAUGCCGGUCCGAUCUCAAGCCAUCCCCUCUAGCCUUAAAGGACCACAUCGCCACUUUACGCGUCUAUAGUCCUCCUUGUGGCCACCGCUUCCGCCUAGAGACCCGGCUAUGACUGCGACUCCUCGCUUUCGCACCCCUCGCUUGUCCUAAUCUAUGGGGACCAUCAGGUGCGGCAUUUGCAACCCGUGAUCCACACCCGCCGUAAAGUGCAGCAGGCACGGCGUCGAUUGCGUAAUUCACGGGGCGGACCCCUCAUGCCGGCGUUCCGAUUUUGAGUUUCCUUAACUGCCCCCGGGCGUGUUCGCCGCCUCGUACACCGAAUUAAGCUGCGUUGCGCUUCUUGGAAUGGUUCCGAACUGUAUGUGGCCUUUGUGCACCUCUGCGCACGGGGGAACACCAGCCACAUGUCCACCACGUACCGACAGCAGUCGAGCACAGCACUCUACAACCCAAUUCAGGGCGUUGCUCGCGUUGGGAACAAGACACAACGGUCGCACGGAAAGCCCCACUGCCCCUGAGUGUCCUCUGACGGCCCCAGUUGAACCUCCUUCCACCCCUGCUGCAGUUCAGUAGUACGGGGAAUACAGAACCCGACGUGUGCACGAUGUUACCGGCCAUGUUACUCGACGCUACGGCGCUCCACCUCGCUUAGAGUUUUUCGGCCAGAGUCAAGCCUAACCCCAGACGUUGAGCUGGGGUACUUCAGCCUCAGCGAUCAUUAGCGUCUAGUCGUGACGACGCCACUUAUGCAAGGGCCCGGAACAUGUGUGGCGGGCAGAGCAGUACUUUAAAAAAUGGACGGUGCCCUGGGG